RNAcentral lists this ribosomal RNA (199 nucleotides) under uncultured bacterium. Its description in RNAcentral is "partial 16S ribosomal RNA". It matches the Rfam family "Bacterial small subunit ribosomal RNA", at positions 577 to 775 of the family's 1533-position model. The record is from RNAcentral.
GGGCUGGUCAGUCCGGGGUGAAAUCUCACGGCUCAACCGUGAGCGGUCCCCGGAUACUGCCAGUCGUGAGGUGUCUAGAGGAGAGCGGAAUUCCCGGUGUAGUGGUGGAAUGCGUAGAUAUCGGGAAGAACACCAGUGGCGAAAGCGGCUCUCUGGGGACCACCUGACGCUGAGGCGCGAAAGCGUGGGGAGCGAACCG